GAUGAACGCUGGCGGCGUGCUUAAUACAUGCAAGUCGAACGGAGAACCUUUGUAGCAAUACGAGGGUUUCUUAGUGGCGAACGGGUGCGUAACGCGUUGGUGACCUGCCCCGAAGUGUGGGAUAACAGUUCGAAAGGAUUGCUAAUACCGCAUGUGGUUUUCCGGAUCAGAUGCCGGAUCUCUAAAGCAGUAAUGCGCUUCGGGAGGGACCUGCGUCCCAUCAGCUAGUUGGUGAGGUAACGGCCCACCAAGGCUACGACGGGUAGGGGACCUGAGAGGGUGGUCCCCCACACUGGCACUGAAACACGGGCCAGACACCUACGGGUGGCAGCAGUAGGGAAUAUUGGGCAAUGGGCGAAAGCCUGACCCAGCAACGCCGCGUGCACGAUGAAGGUCUUCGGAUCGUAAAGUGCUUUUCUGAGAGAUGAGACAGGACAGUAUCUCAGGAAUAAGUCUCGGCUAACUACGUGCCAGCAGCCGCGGUAACACGUAGGAGGCAAGCGUUAUCCGGAUUUACUGGGUGUAAAGCGCGUGCAGGCGGUUCGGUAAGUUGGAUGUGAAAGCUCCUGGCUCAACUGGGAGAGGUCGUUCAAAACUACCGGACUUGAGGACAGUAGAGGGAGAUGGAAUUCCCGGUGUAGUGGUGAAAUGCGUAGAUAUCGGGAGGAACACCAGUAGCGAAAGCGGUCUCCUGGACUGUCUCUGACGCUCAGACGCGAAAGCUAGGGUAGCAAACGGGAUUAGAGACCCCGGUAGUCCUAGCUGUAAACGAUGUGAACUUGGCGUUGGUGGUGUAAAAACCAUCAGUGCCGAAGCUAACGCGAUAAGUUCACCACCUGGGGACUACGACCGCAAGGUUAAAACUCAAAUGAAUUGACGG
This 880-nucleotide ribosomal RNA is filed under the name uncultured bacterium. RNAcentral describes it as "bacterial SSU rRNA". It matches the Rfam family "Bacterial small subunit ribosomal RNA", at positions 28 to 916 of the family's 1533-position model. The record is from RNAcentral.